Molecule: ribosomal RNA, 491 nt
Filed under: Pseudomonas sp. CL2.116
Lineage: Bacteria; Pseudomonadati; Pseudomonadota; Gammaproteobacteria; Pseudomonadales; Pseudomonadaceae
Description: bacterial SSU rRNA
Rfam family: Bacterial small subunit ribosomal RNA
Source: RNAcentral
AUCCAUGGCUCAGAUUGAACGCUGGCGGCAGGCCUAACACAUGCAAGUCGAGCGGUAGAGAGAAGCUUGCUUCUCUUGAGAGCGGCGGACGGGUGAGUAAUGCCUAGGAAUCUGCCUGGUAGUGGGGGAUAACGCUCGGAAACGGACGCUAAUACCGCAUACGUCCUACGGGAGAAAGCAGGGGACCUUCGGGCCUUGCGCUAUCAGAUGAGCCUAGGUCGGAUUAGCUAGUUGGUGAGGUAAUGGCUCACCAAGGCGACGAUCCGUAACUGGUCUGAGAGGAUGAUCAGUCACACUGGAACUGAGACACGGUCCAGACUCCUACGGGAGGCAGCAGUGGGGAAUAUUGGACAAUGGGCGAAAGCCUGAUCCAGCCAUGCCGCGUGUGUGAAGAAGGUCUUCGGAUUGUAAAGCACUUUAAGUUGGGAGGAAGGGCAUUAACCUAAUACGUUGGUGUUCUUGACGUUACCGACAGAAUAAGCACCGGCUAA